RNAcentral lists this non-coding RNA (122 nucleotides) under Actinosynnema mirum. RNAcentral describes it as "FMN sequence". It matches the Rfam family "FMN riboswitch aptamer (RFN element)". Rfam says of the family: The RFN element is a highly conserved domain that is found frequently in the 5'-untranslated regions of prokaryotic mRNAs that encode for flavin mononucleotide (FMN) biosynthesis and transport proteins. The record is from RNAcentral. RNAcentral also lists the same sequence under 1 other name. Lineage: Bacteria; Bacillati; Actinomycetota; Actinomycetes; Pseudonocardiales; Pseudonocardiaceae.
CACGCGCUCCGGGGCUCGGUGAAAUCCCGAACCGGCGGUGAGAGCCCGCGAACCGCCGCCAGGCGGCCGACCCGGUGGGAUUCCGGGGCCGACGGUCACAGUCCGGAUGAGAGGUGCGCAGC